This 353-nucleotide transfer-messenger RNA is filed under the name Clostridia bacterium. It matches the Rfam family "transfer-messenger RNA". Rfam says of the family: Bacterial tmRNA, also known as 10Sa RNA or SsrA, is named for its dual tRNA and mRNA-like properties. Its role is to liberate the mRNA from a stalled ribosome. Lineage: Bacteria; Bacillati; Bacillota; Clostridia. The record is from RNAcentral. RNAcentral also lists the same sequence under 1 other name.
GGGGGUGUACCGGUUUCGACGGGGGUUGUAUAGGCACGAGUGGCCAGGCGAGAUUCCACCAACUCGUUAAACGGUGGGCCUUGAUAAGUGCCAACGAUAAUCUCGCUUUAGCUGCCUAAUUAACAGCUAACGCCUCCCGGCAGCCGGCCCGUGGGCGGCCGGGAAGGUGUCAACGCUAGCGGGCUAUUCUGAUCACCGGCACCUGCCCGGGGGCAGAGAAAUCUCAGCAGGUUGGCCACAGGAAAUCCGGUCCCCGGGAGUUCCUGGGGCGAGAAGCAAAACAGGGACUAUCCUGGUAGAAGCUCUUGCAGGUGCGCUUCCGGACGGGGGUUCGACUCCCCCCACCUCCACCA